RNAcentral lists this ribosomal RNA (407 nucleotides) under uncultured bacterium. RNAcentral's name for it is "partial 16S ribosomal RNA". It matches the Rfam family "Bacterial small subunit ribosomal RNA", at positions 30 to 526 of the family's 1533-position model. The record is from RNAcentral.
AUUGAACGCUGGCGGCAGGCCUAACACAUGCAAGUCGAGCGGCUCGGCGGACGGGGACGUAAUGCUUAGGCAUCUGCCUGGUACUGAUGGAUAACGUCCGGCAACGGGCGCUAAUACCGCAUACUAUCAGAUGAGCCUAGGUCGGAUUAGCUCGGUGGUGGGGUAAAGGCCUACCAAGGCGACGAUGCGUAACUGGUCUGAGAGGAUGACCAGCCACACUGGGACUGAGACACGGCCCAGACGCCUACGGGAGGCAGCAGUGGGGAAUAUUGGGCAAUGGGCGAAAGUCUGACCGAGCCACGCCGCGUGUGUGAAGAAGGUCUUCGGAUUGUAAAGCACUGUAGGUAGGGAAGCGUUACCUACAGAAUAAGCAACGGCUAACUACGUGCCAGCAGCCGCGGUAAUUC